This 465-nucleotide ribosomal RNA is filed under the name uncultured bacterium. RNAcentral describes it as "partial 16S ribosomal RNA". It matches the Rfam family "Bacterial small subunit ribosomal RNA", at positions 338 to 795 of the family's 1533-position model. The record is from RNAcentral.
CCUACGGGAGGCAGCAGUAGGGAAUCUUCCACAAUGGGCGAAAGCCUGAUGCAGCAACGCCGCGUGGGUGAAGAAGGUCUUCGGAUCGUAAAAUUCUGUUGUUAGAGAAGAAAGUGCGUGAGUGUAACUGUUCACGUUUCGACGGUAACUAACCAGAAAGCACCGGCUAACUACGUGCCAGCAGCCGCGGUAAUACGUAGGUGGCAAGCGUUAUCCGGAUUUAUUGGGCGUAAAGGGAACGCAGGCGGUCUUUUAAGUCUGAUGUGAAAGCCUUCGGCUUAACCGGAGAAGUGCAUUGGAUACUGGGAGACUUGAGUACAGAAGAGGAGAGUGGAACUCCAUGUGUAGCGGUGAAAUGCGUAGAUAUAUGGAAGAACACCAGUGGCGAAAGCGGCUCUCUGGUCUGUAACUGACGCUGAGGUUCGAAAGCGUGGGUAGCAAACAGGAUUAGAUACCCUGGUAGUC